UACGGAGGGGGCUAGCGUUAUUCGGAAUUACUGGGCGUAAAGCGCACGUAGGCGGCUUUGUAAGUCAGAGGUGAAAGCCUGGAGCUCAACUCCAGAACUGCCUUUGAGACUGCAUCGCUUGAAUCCAGGAGAGGUGAGUGGAAUUCCGAGUGUAGAGGUGAAAUUCGUAGAUAUUCGGAAGAACACCAGUGGCGAAGGCGGCUCACUGGACUUGUAUUGACGCUGAGGUGCGAAAGCGUGGGGAGCAAACAGG
Molecule: ribosomal RNA, 253 nt
Filed under: uncultured bacterium
Lineage: Bacteria
Description: partial 16S ribosomal RNA
Rfam family: Bacterial small subunit ribosomal RNA
Source: RNAcentral